RNAcentral lists this ribosomal RNA (870 nucleotides) under uncultured bacterium. Its description in RNAcentral is "bacterial SSU rRNA". It matches the Rfam family "Bacterial small subunit ribosomal RNA", at positions 103 to 988 of the family's 1533-position model. The record is from RNAcentral.
CGGGUGAGUAACGCGUGAGGAACCUGCCUCAAAGAGGGGGACAACAGUUGGAAACGACUGCUAAUACCGCAUAAGCCCACGGGUCGGCAUCGACCAGAGGGAAAAGGAGCAAUCCGCUUUGAGAUGGCCUCGCGUCCGAUUAGCUAGUUGGUGAGGUAACGGCCCACCAAGGCGACGAUCGGUAGCCGGACUGAGAGGUUGAACGGCCACAUUGGGACUGAGACACGGCCCAGACUCCUACGGGAGGCAGCAGUGGGGAAUAUUGCACAAUGGGGGAAACCCUGAUGCAGCGACGCCGCGUGGAGGAAGAAGGUCUUCGGAUUGUAAACUCCUGUUGUUGAGGAAGAUAAUGACGGUACUCAACAAGGAAGUGACGGCUAACUACGUGCCAGCAGCCGCGGUAAAACGUAGGUCACAAGCGUUGUCCGGAAUUACUGGGUGUAAAGGGAGCGCAGGCGGGAAGACAAGUUGGGAGUGAAAUCCAUGGGCUCAACCCAUGAACUGCUUUCAAAACUGUUUUUCUUGAGUAGUGCAGAGGUAGGCGGAAUUCCCGGUGUAGCGGUGGAAUGCGUAGAUAUCGGGAGGAACACCAGUGGCGAAGGCGGCCUACUGGGCACCAACUGACGCUGAGGCUCGAAAGUGUGGGUAGCAAACAGGAUUAGAUACCCUGGUAGUCCACACCGUAAACGAUGAUUACUAGGUGUUGGAGGAUUGACCCCUUCAGUGCCGCAGUUAACACAAUAAGUAAUCCACCUGGGGAGUACGACCGCAAGGUUGAAACUCAAAGGAAUUGACGGGGGGCCCGCACAAGCAGUGGAGUAUGUGGUUUAAUUCGACGCAACCCGAAAAACUUUACCAAGUCUUGACAUC